Molecule: ribosomal RNA, 943 nt
Filed under: uncultured archaeon
Lineage: Archaea
Description: bacterial SSU rRNA
Rfam family: Archaeal small subunit ribosomal RNA
Source: RNAcentral
UUCCGCUGAUCCUGCCGGACCUUACUGCUAUCCGGGGUGGGACUAAGACAUGCGAGUCGAGCGUCUCUAGCUAUGUUGAGACGCGGCAGACGGCUCAGUAACACGUGGCUAACCUACCCUCAGGACGAGGAUAAACCCGGGAAACUGGGGGCUAAUACUCGAUAGGUGAGAAUGUCUGGAAUGAUUUCUCAUUCAAAGGGCUUUAGAAACAUGCUUCUAAAGUCGCCUGGGGAUGGGGCCGCGUCCGAUCAGGUUGUUGGUGAGGUAACGGCUCACCAAGCCUAUAACCGGUACGGGCCGUGAGAGCGGUAGCCCGGAGAUGGGUACUGAGACAAGGACCCAGGCCCUACGGGGCGCAGCAGUCGCGAAAACUCCGCAAUGCACGAAAGUGUGACGGGGCUACCCCGAGUGCCAUCCGCUGAGGAUGGCUUUUCUUUGGUGUAACUAGCCGGGGGAAUAAGGAGGGGGCAAGACUGGUGUCAGCCGCCGCGGUAAUACCAGCUCUCCGAGUGGUAGGGAUGAUUAUUGGGCUUAAAGCGUCCGUAGCCGGCUUAGCAAGUCUCCUGUUAAAUUCAGCGACCUAAUCGUUGAGCCGCGGGAGAUACUACUAGGCUAGGAGGCGGGAGAGGUCGACGGUACUUCUGGGGUAGGGGUGAAAUCCUAUAAUCCCGGGAGGACCACCAGUGGCGAAGGCUGUUGACUAGAACGCGCUCGACGGUGAGGGACGAAAGCUGGGGGAGCGAACCGGAUUAGAUACCCGGGUAGUCCCAGCCGUAAACGAUGCGGGCUAGGUGUUGGGGUGGCUACGUGCCACUUCAGUGCCGCAGGGAAGCCAUUAAGCCCGCCGCCUGGGGAGUACGGCCGCAAGGCUGAAACUUAAAGGAAUUGGCGGGGGAGCACCACAAGGCGUGAAGCUUGCGGUUCAAUUGGAAUCAACGCCGGU